Molecule: small nuclear RNA, 334 nt
Filed under: Sorex araneus (European shrew)
Lineage: Eukaryota; Metazoa; Chordata; Mammalia; Eulipotyphla; Soricidae
Description: 7SK RNA (ENSSARG00000017636.1)
Rfam family: 7SK RNA
About the family: 7SK was discovered as an abundant small nuclear RNA in the mid-70s but a possible function has only recently been suggested. Two independent studies have found that 7SK RNA binds the CDK9/cyclin T complex (known as elongation factor P-TEFb).
Source: RNAcentral
GGUUGUGAGGGCUAUCAGGCUGCGUUAUCUGUCACACCAUUGUUCGCCAGUGUUGAUUCAGCUGAUCUGACUGGCUAGGCGGGUGUCCCCUUCCUCCCUCACCACUCCGUGUGCGUCCCUCCUGAAGCUGUGCGCUUGGUAGAAGAGAGCAGCCUUCCCCAAGGAGAGACAGACUGAACCAGUCUUUGGUUGAGGGUAUACGAGUAGCUGCGCUCCCCUGCUAGAACCUCCAAACAAACUUUCAUUUUUUGUAUAAUUAAAGAAAUAUAUUCUUUCAGGGUGGAGAGAGUACAGUGAUUAGGGUCCUUGACUAGCAUGUAGUCAACCCUGUUUC